Non-coding RNA from Bemisia tabaci, 1139 nucleotides. NCBI's taxonomy places the organism in Eukaryota, Metazoa, Arthropoda, Insecta, Hemiptera, Aleyrodidae. The record is from RefSeq and is a predicted model, not a curated record.
GUUUCGACUUUCGAGGUAUCGAAAUUAUAACGAGAUGUGACGUCACACUAAAUUCGUCUAUUAAGGUGAUUCGAUGGCUUGUCGAGUUGAGAAUCUGUGAUAAGAGAUCGCGCCACGGUCGACAAAGAACCGCGAAAUUCGAAAAGCCGCCAUUACGCGACUCUCGUGACGAAAAUGGACUCUCUUUGAAAAAAAGAGUCAGAAUAUCAGAUUUUUGGAAUCGCACUUCUGUUGCCAGACGUUAAAUCGAUCUGCACUCAAAAUUUCAUUGUAGAAAAUUAAGAAUUGAAGCCGGCUAAUUUUCAGAGGUGAGGACACCUCAUGUGAGUUCUGAGCAACUGCAUGAGAAGGAGCGAGUUUUCUUUAAAAUUAACCCUUUAAUUUUCUUCAUCUAAAUCGCAAAUGUCAAGCCCAUUGCUUUAAAUUGAUGCUCCGAAAAUUUCAGGCCAAACAAAGUUAAAUUGAAUUCAGCGUUUUUUAAUUGCUGACUCCACUUCGAGGUCUGUGAUUCUUCCUCCCGUGUUUUCCAAUGUUUGUUAUUGUUACCUACGAAACCUAACCUCAAAGUUUCCUCGAAUGUGCGAAUGAAAACAAACAAAUCUGUCGCGUUGUGUGAAGUGAAAUAGUUUCGUGAUUUGUAUGUGAGAAAUCUCACUAUUCAUCAUGAAUUUGGCUUUUCGGCUUACUAUCAGUAUCUAAAGAAGAAAAUGUGACUCCUCCCUGCCUGAAAUUAAAUGAAUUCAACUGCUUUUCCUCAUUGUGGAUCACCGUCGUUACCUUCAUGAUAAGUUUCAAUAAUCAAGGUGGAAUUCCAAUUCCAAAACAAUGGAACAAUAGAACAACGGACAAUGGAAAAAUUUUAAAAAUACUUAAAUGCGGCUGAUUAUCAAAGCCAAUAAAGAAUGUGUGAUGUUAGUCAUGUAGAGCAAAAACCUUGGAUUGGAGGAAGAGAAAUCCAGUCUGGUUGGCCUGUGGAUACCCAAGUUUAUUCUCUCAUGUUUUGAUUUCACAUUGAUCACAGCAAAUUUUUCUGAGGAAGCUGAGGUUUUUCAAAUCUUUCAUACUACAGACACGUGAUUCGUACAUCAAAGGAGUACUUUUUCCCUGACUGACUUCCCUAUCCUGAGACACCUAAGCAA